This is a long non-coding RNA of Chinchilla lanigera (long-tailed chinchilla), 520 nucleotides long. RefSeq lists it as uncharacterized. The transcript is spliced from 3 exons. The record is from RefSeq and is a predicted model, not a curated record. NCBI's taxonomy places the organism in Eukaryota, Metazoa, Chordata, Mammalia, Rodentia, Chinchillidae.
AGGACGUGGGGAGAUGGGCACCCCCCAGUCCAACCCUCAUUUGUCAAGGGGCUCCCGGUUCCCCUGGUAAGCCUUUCCCCUAACAUGCAGGCACUAGCAGGGUCCUUCCUCACUUCUGUCUGGCCGCGUCCACCCCAGAGCAAGCCCUACCCCACCAGAGGGUGGAGGACCAGAGCCACAGAGGAGCGACCUGACCAUGCCAUGAAGCUGCGAGAUAACAACACUGGAGAAGGCAGAGAGCAACCCAGCUGGACAUCCGUUUCCCAGUGACCCCUUGUUACCAGCUGAGGCCAGCAGGGAAGAAGAGCCCCAGGACACUGUAUUCUCCUUUUCAUGUGCUGGCCAGAUGAGCCUGAGGCCGAGUUUGACCAAGGCACUUGAGGAGAAAUCUCUAGGAAGAGCAAAGCAACAACAUGAAAGGAACCUAUGUCCGUAGUUGACCAUGUGGAGCAGAGUUGACUCUACCCAAGAUUGCUUCCUUCCAGAAUGUUCUGUGAGAAAUAAACUAUUUUCUAUAUGC